Chrysemys picta bellii (western painted turtle) is the source of this 3723-nucleotide long non-coding RNA. RefSeq lists it as uncharacterized. Lineage: Eukaryota; Metazoa; Chordata; Testudines; Emydidae. The record is from RefSeq and is a predicted model, not a curated record.
UUGCUCAGGGGGGUGAUUUAUUCACCCCCCUGAGUGACAUAAAUUAUGCUGACAUAAGCCAUAGUAUAGGCAUUGCCUAAAUCUUUUCAGAAAGAUGAUAGCACCAUUCUAUUAUUUUAGAAAGAAAGAAACAAACAAACAAACAAACUGAAUAGUUCCAAUGCUGCAAGCAUGUAUUCCCAGGCAUAGUUCAUACUACUGUGACUUCAGUGGGACUGUCUAUGUUAUCUACCCGCAUGACAUACAACCACAAAGUAUCGAAAUGCUUAUUACCUACAGACUGCUCACAGUAGUAGGGACUACAGGUAAGUGAGUGUUUGCAGCAUCAGACCCUAAGAACCCACUGGAACUACUCUACUCGUGUGAAAAAGCAAGCAUGUAAAAAUGUUUGGAGGAUCAGGACAUAAGGAAGCACUUGGGGAUCUUGCCUGUUACUAAUAAACAUACAUCUAUCAUUAUCACUUUCGUUUUGUUGUUUAUAUUGCACUCACCUGAGGCCCCAUUGUGCUAGGCACUGAAUAAACAUAUUGCAAAUUACAUUUCCUGCCUCAGAAAGCUAACAAGCUAAGGCCCCAAUCCUGUCAUGGGCAAUGACUGCACAGAGCCUCAUUGAAGUUAGCAGGGCUCUGGGCUGGCACAACCGGAGCAGGGCCUAAAUGAGCAGUUAUAAUCUGAAAGCUUCUAAGGUAAUGGUAAAAGUCAGUCAACUGCAGCAUGUAAGAAAUACCAUGUCAAUACCUGCCCAUCAUUUGCUUGCUAUCUCCUUUCCACGGGCUUUUAUUCAUCUCUGUACUGCCCUCCAAUAUACCUUUCCAGCUAAAGACACAGUCAAGUGGACAGGGUUUGGUUUUGUUUUUCUUUUCACCCAACGCUUUUGUAUAUUUCUGAAACUUAAGCCACCGCAUAUACUACUACAGUACUUAUCUGUAACACCAUCGCUUUGAGGGAUUAAAGCAGGUUACUUGUUACACACUUAGAUCAAGCGUUAUCUGAGUAGAGAGUCUACUCCGUUAGGGAUGGCGGAAUCUGUUUUUGAUCUUGAGUUGUUUUGAUUUUCUUUGAGAGCGGUAACAUGUUAUUUUAACUUCUGAAUAAGGUGUGCUACCUGACUGAGUCUCUUCUCUUCUUUGGCAGAAAGGAUUAGAAACCUCCACUGAACUUGCAGUCUAUUAAAGCAGAGUGCUCUCCAUUGAGCAGCAAGGAACUGAAUUGUUUUCAGAUUACAUGUGUGUGUGUCUUUCCCACAUCAAAGACUUCGAUGGAAGCUGUUCACACUAUUGUCAGGAAUGCAGGGAUUGGCACAAAGAAACAAGAAUUGGGAAGGAAAACGCCAACAUCCCGAAAUCUCAAGUCAAAACCUCUCCAUCUGAUAAGUUCUGUCAGCUGCAAGCAAACUGAUUCACUGUCUAUCUUUCUCCAGGAUGUGUGGACUACCCUGUAGUGCUUGAUGCAAUAUUUGGAUGAGAACUCCAGCGAGAUCAGCUGUGCCACCCAGCAGACCUAGAGCUCUCAGAGCUCCACCUUGAGUGCAAAAGCCUUUCUGUUCUUUGGAAUGCAGAACGAGAGGAAAAAACUUUAGGCCAAUUUCCCCCCUGGAACAACUCUAAUGAAAUCAGUCAGGUAACAUCAGCGAUAAAUUUGGCCCUGUGCUUUUAGCUUUGCUCUGUGAUUGCAAUGGACUCACUGUUGAUAGUGUCUCUGAAUUAUUUGAAUUACAUAAAAAUGCAGUUAGAAAUUCAGAACAAACAUCCAGUGCAGAAUGCCUCAUAAUCCAGAGCACACGUUGCCUAAUGGUUACUGCAGGAGAACGGGAGUCUAGUCUCCCAGAUUCUGUUCUGAACCCUGACAUUGGUGUGAGUAUUGCAUGACAUGGGCAAGUCACAUUGCCUUUCACUGUCUCACUUUCCCCAUCUACAGAAUAUAACAAGAUUUACCACUUCACAGAGUGGUUGAGAGUCUUGAGAUUGUUUUAGUACCAUUGGGAUGAAAGUUCUUUUAAAAGGCAAAAAUAACCCAACUUUUCAAUAGGGCCAAAACCCAGCCUCUGCUGGUGCACAUGUGAUUGCAACCAGGACUUGCCAGUACUGACACCUACGCAUGUUUAUUCAAAUACCUGGGCAUGCAAGUCAUAGAAUCCUAAUGUGCGAGACCCAUUGGUCCAAUGGAUUUGCCCACAGGUGUUCGCGCAUGUCAAAUGUGCAUGCAGGUGUGUGCACAGGCGGACUUGCAUGAGCACAAGCAGAGCCAGGGUUCAAACAGCAGGGCCUUUGAGCCUUAACCUGACACUCCCCCUUUAAAAUCAGAGACACUGACAUCAAAGUUUGCCCCUCACCAGAAGAAACCGGCUAUUUUGCACCCUUCCAAGCUAUGUUUCUCAUCUCCCCACCAUUCCUACUGCCUUGUCUCUCUUGCUUUUUCUGACACUAUCCCUCCCGCUCCACUUCAAACCCUGGGAAAAACCUAGGAAAAGCAGCUUGCUGACUAAGGGGCCAUUUCGUUGCAUUGUGUUUUCCAGCUAGACCUGAACAGACUGAAAUCAAUUCAGCUCUCUCGCGCUCUCCCUCCCUCAUGUCUUUUUUUGUUUCUCUUAGAUUGUGCCCUCUGCCUUAAGAAAGCCCAGUUUAGUUACAGCCCCAUAGCAAUCAAGUGACCAGUAGUUUCUGUUUUUUGUAAAAACAGUGUCCUUUUCAUGGGAUUCAGGUUCCUCCUCACUUUGAAAUGCCCAUUGAGCAGGGGUAACAAUCUGCAGAAUCUUUGAUCAAUUCUUGUGUAUUCAUUUUAGAUAUUUCUAAUGGUCACAUCACCCGGAGAAAUAUGUGCUUUUGUACUAAUAUUAAAACAUUGUAUCAGCCAUCCAUUAUAUUACUGUUACUGAGACCAGAUUGAACAGAAGUACACACAAACAUCUGUGUCUGAUCUGUGUAGCUAUAUAUCCUGAGAAAUACGCUUAUUAUUGUUGAAGUCCAAGGGUUUCCAUUCCUUUUUGCAAUUCCUUCUAACUUUCUAAAGUUUUCAAUAUGAAAUUUUUCAGUCUUGAUCCCAUACCACAGUUAUGAAUGCAAUAUAGAAACAAGAAGAGAAUAAAAUAAGGUUUUUGGACGUUUGAACAAGCAUGGUUAAGCACAGUCCACCUGGUGCACUAAAUGAGGCCUGGUCCUGUGGAAAUAAUUAUAUGGGAUCAUAGAAUUAAGGGUUAUAUCCUAUUGCAUCCUCACAAUGGAACAGCAUCAAGGUUGCAUGUGCAACCUUAACUUUGUUGUCUCCUGAUUCUUUUGAGUGCUCAACUGGGCAAACUUUGUGUUUUCUUAGCGUAGAUUUUCUUUGUUCUUUUCCAAUGGAAUGUAGAUUUACGGGCAGACAUCCUCAGCGGGUGUAAAUUGGCACAAUUCCAUUGCAGUCGACAGACCCAAGCCCUUGACACCUGCUGAGGAUCUGAGCCAGAAAUGAGAUGUGUGCGCACGCCCGCAGCACUGAACUACUAUUCUAGCCCUAAUGACAAGAAGAGAGUGGGGGUUUUUAUAUAUAUAAUUAUUUCUUUUAAUUUAGAAGAAAAUAUUAAAAGUGUUUAUCCCCAGCCUUGAGUAUCUCUACCACUUCUUUAAGAAGAUACAUCCAGCAGCCACGCCUUACCAUAGAACAUAAAAUGAACAUAAGAACAGAAGAACGGCCGUACUCGGUCAGACCAAAGGUCCAUCCAGCCCAGUAUCCUGUCUGCCAACAGUG